GGGGAUUUAGCUCAGUGGCAUAAGCACCUGCCUUGCAAGCAGGCAGUCCUGAGUUCCAUCCCCAGUACCUA
This is a transfer RNA of Cavia porcellus (domestic guinea pig), 71 nucleotides long. It matches the Rfam family "tRNA". From Rfam's summary of the family: Transfer RNA (tRNA) molecules are approximately 80 nucleotides in length. Their secondary structure includes four short double-helical elements and three loops (D, anti-codon, and T loops). Further hydrogen bonds mediate the characteristic L-shaped molecular structure. tRNAs have two regions of fundamental functional importance: the anti-codon, which is responsible for specific mRNA codon recognition, and the 3' end, to which the tRNAs corresponding amino acid is attached (by aminoacyl-tRNA synthetases). tRNAs cope with the degeneracy of the genetic code in two manners: having more than one tRNA (with a specific anti-codon) for a particular amino acid; and 'wobble' base-pairing, i.e. permitting non-standard base-pairing at the 3rd anti-codon position. Lineage: Eukaryota; Metazoa; Chordata; Mammalia; Rodentia; Caviidae. The record is from Rfam.